CUCCCUGCUCCCUUACUUGAGGUUUACAUGUUCGGGUAUGUUCUCAUCCUUCUGGAAUAGAACUUUAUGUUGAUUACUGUGAAUUUGUUAUUUUGAUGGGACAUGGGAGAACUCUUCUGCUUAUUUUCUUCUUAUCGUAAGGAAAAUAGCACCUGUCAGGGCAGAGCUGGAACAUCAGAGGAAGAAUGUAUGUAUGUAAAGGUGCUUUUCAAAUGUGAUGGCUUGUCAUUUAAUUAUUAUUUAAAUGAAUCUGCUUUAUUUUCAGAGUUGGUUGAUCAGAGUGAGUCAGAAGGCCCAGUGAUACAAGAAUCAACUGAGCCAAGCCAAUUGGAGGCUCCUGCAACAGAAGAAAUAAAGGAGGCCGAUGGAAGCUCUCAGAUCAAGCAAGAACCAGACCCUACGUGGUAGAGCUCUUCCCUCCUAGGCCUAAAGCUUCAGCGGGUGAGAAGAGCCUUUCAGACCUGUUACUCCCCAGCUGUGUAAUAUACUUGUAUAACAGAAAUACCUUCUAUACAAACCUUUUUUUCUACUUUUAGAUAGAAAUGUCUACUUUUUCAGCAGUUCUGUGAAUUGAAUUAAAGAGCAGAGUGACUGUAGAUUUGGAAUGGCUGGUUUCCUUUGGAAUGUAUUAUAAGGAUUUUACAGCAAUGCUGGAAAAAUGACAGGGAAAUUGACAGGGAUGAAUCUCAUCAGAUUUUUUACGUAUUCAGCAGAGCCUGCAGCUAUGGUGUUUAUUUUCCAGUCAAGUGAAGAUAUCUCCUACUGGAACAUCUCAACUUCUGCAGUGAAGAAAACAUCUGUGAUAGUUCAGUUCUUUAGUUUUUCUAUUUGAAAAAUCAUUUAAAUGAUCCUUUGGUUCACGGCUCUCCUUAAUGAUUGAGUGAACAGUUAGUAUCUGUAUAUUUGACUAAACCUUUUCCUAAGCUGUCUAUCAUGGUUCAUAUGUUUUUUAACCUAAUUAAAAAAAACCCAACCAUCUGGAUCACCUAACAGCCAGUAAGAGGUUAGUAUCUCAGCUUGUGGCUUAUAGAUGGAAUACAGAGAACCUCUUCCACAUUUGCUUUUCAUCCAAAUAAAGUGCAUGGUGUCCCAGAAGUUUAAGACCAGGUAUGAGUGUUUGGGCUGGGUAAUGACACUAAAGCCUCACUGUCAUGUAACCUAGUGUGGGGUGGGUUUCUUUGAACACUGCUCUGGCCUGGAUCAGACUCAAGGGGGUUUCAUUGCCUUCAUUAUUUUAUAAUUCUACUUGUAACAUUGAGGCUCCAGUGUGGGGAAGUGGGGAGGGUCAGUAUGCUCUGCACCCCCUAAUACUCUGCACCAUUUGCAGGAGAGUCUCACAUGUGUCGAGAGUUCACAAACAAUAAGAGUUGUAAAAUACCAGCUAUAUGAGAAGCUAGAGUAUGUGAUGGCAUAGAGUUUUCAUUAGCUUUAUCACAAUAUUCACAAUGGAGAAUUAUAUUACAUGGUAGCAGAAACAGGCAUUUUUAUGUGUUGCUUAUAUUUUACCUCAAGUUAAAUUGUAGAUAUAGGGUAAUAAAUAAAAUCCAUCCAUGCCUUU
Molecule: non-coding RNA, 1558 nt
Organism: Manis javanica (Malayan pangolin)
Lineage: Eukaryota; Metazoa; Chordata; Mammalia; Pholidota; Manidae
Source: RefSeq, a predicted model, not a curated record